RNAcentral lists this ribosomal RNA (468 nucleotides) under uncultured bacterium. RNAcentral's name for it is "partial 16S ribosomal RNA". It matches the Rfam family "Bacterial small subunit ribosomal RNA", at positions 28 to 507 of the family's 1533-position model. The record is from RNAcentral.
GACGAACGCUGGCGGCGUGCUUAACACAUGCAAGUCGAACGGAAAGGCCCUGCUUUUGUGGGGUGCUCGAGUGGCGAACGGGUGAGUAACACGUGAGUAACCUGCCCUUGACUUUGGGAUAACUUCAGGAAACUGGGGCUAAUACCGGAUAGGAGCUCCUGCUGCAUGGUGGGGGUUGGAAAGUUUCGGCGGUUGGGGAUGGACUCGCGGCUUAUCAGCUUGUUGGCGGGGUAGUGGCUUACCAAGGCUUUGACGGGUAGCCGGCCUGAGAGGGUGACCGGCCACAUUGGGACUGAGAUACGGCCCAGACUCCUACGGGAGGCAGCAGUGGGGAAUAUUGCACAAUGGGCGGAAGCCUGAUGCAGCAACGCCGCGGGCGGGAUGACGGCCUUCGGGUUGUAAACCGCUUUCGCCUGUGACGAAGCGUGAGUGACGGUAAUGGGUAAAGAAGCACCGGCUAACUACGUG